UACGUAGGGUCCGAGCGUUGUCCGGAAUUACUGGCGUAAAGAGCUCGUAGGCGGUCUGUCGCGUCGGUUGUGAAAACCCAAGGCUCAACCUUGGGCCUGCAAUCGGAUACGGGCAGACUAGAGUACUGCAGGGGAGACUGGAAUUCCGUGGUGUAGCGGUGGAAUGCGCAGAUAUCGAGGAGGAACACCGGUGGCGAAGGCGGGUCUCUGGGCGA
This 215-nucleotide ribosomal RNA is filed under the name uncultured bacterium. RNAcentral's name for it is "partial 16S ribosomal RNA". It matches the Rfam family "Bacterial small subunit ribosomal RNA", at positions 524 to 736 of the family's 1533-position model. The record is from RNAcentral.